RNAcentral lists this ribosomal RNA (253 nucleotides) under uncultured bacterium. RNAcentral describes it as "partial 16S ribosomal RNA". It matches the Rfam family "Bacterial small subunit ribosomal RNA", at positions 524 to 776 of the family's 1533-position model. The record is from RNAcentral.
GACAGAGGGUGCAAACGUUGUUCGGAAUUACUGGGCGUAAAGCGCGUGUAGGCGGCUUUGCAAGUCGGGCGUGAAAUCCCAUGGCUCAACCAUGGAAGUGCACUCGAAACUGCAGAGCUAGAGUCCUGGAGAGGAAGGUGGAAUGCUUGGUGUAGAGGUGAAAUUCGUAGAUAUCAAGCAGAACACCUGCGGCGAAGGCGGCCUUCUGGACGAUGACUGACGCUGAGACACGAAAGCGUGGGGAGCAAACAGG